Molecule: non-coding RNA, 4035 nt
Organism: Phoenix dactylifera (date palm)
Lineage: Eukaryota; Viridiplantae; Streptophyta; Magnoliopsida; Arecales; Arecaceae
Source: RefSeq, a predicted model, not a curated record
UUAAAUUAUCCAUAUAAACUCUGUGCACGCAACCGGGCAGAGUGUUUUUCGUUUUUCAGGUUCACUUCCAAGCGGGAAAAAUCCCGUCCAACUGGCUGCCAUCAUCUAAUCUCUCUCUUCGCCUCGAGGGAUUUCUUCUCCAGGUAUUGCAUGGUGUUUCGGGAUGUACAUCAAGAAGGUGAUCAUUGAAGGGUUCAAGAGCUACAGAGAACAAGUUUCUACAGAUCCGUUCAGCCCUAAAGUAAACUGUGUUGUUGGUGCAAAUGGAUCUGGAAAAACAAACUUUUUCCAUGCCAUACGUUUUGUGCUUAGCGAUCUGUUCCAGAAUUUGCGCAGUGAAGAUAGACAUGCCCUUCUUCAUGAGGGUGCUGGGCACCAGGUUGUAUCAGCCUUUGUGGAGAUAGUAUUUGACAAUUCUGACAACCGCAUUCCAGUUGAUAAGGAGGAGGUGCGGUUGCGGCGGACUAUUGGUCUGAAAAAGGAUGAAUACUUUUUGGAUGGGAAGCAUGUCACUAAAACAGAAGUGAUGAAUUUGCUGGAGAGUGCUGGUUUCUCUCGCUCAAAUCCAUACUAUGUUGUGCAGCAAGGGAAGAUAGCAUCUCUCACUUUAAUGAAAGACUCUGAACGUCUGGAUCUUCUUAAGGAGAUUGGGGGUACACGUGUUUAUGAGGAAAGACGGCGUGAGAGCUUGAAAAUUAUGCAAGAAACUGGUAAUAAGAGAAAGCAAAUAGAUCAGGUUGUUCGCUACUUGGAGGAGAGAUUGAGGGAACUUGAUGAAGAAAAAGAAGAGCUGAAAAAAUAUCAGCAGCUUGACAAGCAACGAAGGUCACUAGAGUAUACCAUUUUUGAUAAAGAACUUCAUGACGCGAGGCAGAAAUUAGGGGAGAUAGAAGAAGCCAGGAAGAAAGUUUCUGAGAAGUCAACCAGCAUGCACAAUAGUGUGCUAGAUGCCCAUGAAAAGCUUAAGUUAUUAGAUAAGGAAUUCAAAGUUUUCACAAAAGAGAUACAAGGAUUGAACAAAGAGAAAGAGACAAUAGAGAAGAAGCGAACCGAAGCACUAAAAGUGCACACACAGAUUGAACUUGAUUUGAGAGACCUAGAAGAGAGAAUUUCUGGGGAUGUCCGAGCCAAGGAGGAAGCUGCAAGGCAGUUGGAAAGCCUGAGAAAAGAGAUCCAGGAAUCCAGAGAUGAACUCAAUACUAUCAGGCCCUUACACCAGUCAAAAGUGGCUGAAGAGGAGGAAAUCGCUAAAGGAAUAAUGGAUCGUGAGAAGCAGCUGAGCAUUCUGUACCAAAAACAAGGCCGUGCUACCCAGUUUGCAAGUAAAGCUGCUCGGGAUAGAUGGCUGCAAAGGGAAAUUGAUGACCUUCAUCGUGUUCUUUCAUCAAAUAUGGCACAAGAGAAAAAGCUUCAGGAUGAAAUCCAGCAACUUAAAGAUGAGGAUAGUAAGUUGGGGGCAUAUAUUGAGGAGCGAAGAGCUGAAUUGAAAAGGCAGGAGCUGCUCAUCACAAAGGGCCAAGAAGAUUUUAACAGUUUAAGAGGACAGAGGGAUGAACUGCAAGAUACAAGGAAGUCUUUGUGGAAGAAAGAAACGGAUCUUUCUUCUGAAAUUGAUAGGCUUAGAGCCGAUCUUGUAAAGGCACAAAAGAGUCUGGACCAUGCUACACCUGGUGAUAUCAGAAGAGGACUAAAUUCCGUCAACAGGAUCAUCAAGGAUCACAAUAUCAAAGGAGUAUUUGGUCCGAUACUAGAAUUGAUUGAAUGUGAUGAAAAAUUUUUUACUGCUGUUGAAGUCACUGCUGGAAAUAGCUUAUUUCAUGUGGUGGUUGAAGCAGAUGAGAUAUCAACUAGGAUAAUUAGAUACCUAACUGCAGAGAAAGGUGGACGUGUGACUUUUAUACCACUAAACAGAGUGAAAGUCCCACACAUAACUUAUCCACAGAGUCCCGAUGUAGUACCUUUGUUAAAGAAAUUGAAAUUUCGUUCUGACUAUGCUCCUGCUUUUUCACAGGUGUUUGGCAGAACAGUGAUAUGUCGGGACUUGGAUGUAGCUACAAAGUUUGCUCGAACUAAUUGUCUUGAUUGCAUCACAUUGGAAGGUGACCAAGUAAGCAAGAAGGGUGGUAUGACGGGAGGAUACUAUGAUUUUAGGCGUUCAAAGCUGAAAUUUGUGAACAUAAUUAGGCAAAAUAAGUUGUCUAUCCAUGCAAAAACAGCGGAACUAGAUGAAAUUGAGAAGAAACUUAAAGAGAUAGAACAGGAAAUUAACAAGUUGGUUAGCGAACAACAGAAAAUGGAUGCACACCGUGGCCACAUCAAGUCAGAGUUGGAACAACUUAAAAAUGACAUUUCUAAUGCAACUAAGCAGAAGCAAUCAAUUGCCAUAGCUCUUGAGAAGAAGGAGAAAUUGCUUGCAAAUGCCCAUAACCAAAUCGAUCAGAUCCGAGCUGGCAUUGCAAUGAAACAAGCUGAAAUGGGCACUGAUCUUAUUGAUCAACUAACACCAGAGGAAAAAGAUCUUCUUUCUCGGUUAAAUCCUGAAAUUACAGAAUUGAAAGAAAAGCUUCUGUCUUGCAAAACUAGUCGAAUGGAUAUUGAGGCAAGAAAAGAGGAGCUUGAGACAAAUUUGUCCACAAACCUUGUGAGACGACAGCAGGAGUUGGAAGCCAUUAUUUUAUCUGCAGAUUCUGACAACUUGCCCAUGGAAGCCGGAGCGAAAAGGCAGGAAUUAAAGAACUCUAAAGCAACUAUUAAUGAAUUGACACAGCAGCUCAAAGCUGCUGUGGAAAAUAUAGAUAGUCUUACAAAGAAAACACGGGAAAUAAGAAAUUCAAAAGAAAAACUAAAGACGCUUGAAGAGAACUAUGAGAGGACACUUCAAGAUGAAGCAAAAGAUUUGGAACAGUUGUUGAACAAAAGGAAUAUACUUCUUGCCAAACAAGAGGAUUGCAUGAAAAAAAUUCGAGAUUUGGGUUCCUUACCAUCUGAUGCUUUUGAAAUAUAUAAAAGGAAAAGCACGAAAGAAUUACAGAAGAUGCUUCAUAAGUGCAAUGAGCAGCUGACACAGUUUAGCCAUGUCAACAAGAAGGCUCUUGACCAAUACAUGAACUUCACGGAGCAACGCGAACAACUGCAGAAUAGACGAGCUGAACUUGAUGCAGGUGACCAGAAAAUUAGAGAAUUGAUUUCAGUUUUGGAUCAACGGAAGGAUGAAUCUAUUGAACGCACAUUCAAAGGUGUAGCAAGGCAUUUUCGAGAAGUAUUUUCUGAACUUGUGCAAGGUGGUCAUGGCUACCUGGUUAUGAUGAAGAAAAAGGAUGGUGAACUUGGUGAUGAUGAUCAUGAUGAGGAUGGGCCCCGUGAUCCAGAUCCUGAAGGAAGAGUUGAGAAAUACAUUGGUGUUAAAGUGAAGGUUUCUUUUACCGGCCAAGGAGAAACUCAAUCAAUGAAACAAUUGUCAGGUGGUCAGAAAACUGUCGUGGCAUUGACACUGAUUUUUGCCAUCCAACGGUGUGAUCCUGCUCCAUUUUAUCUGUUUGAUGAGAUUGAUGCAGCAUUAGAUCCUCAAUACAGAACUGCUGUUGGAAAUAUGAUCCGCCGUCUAGCUGACAUGGCAAAUACUCAGUUCAUAACCACCACAUUCCGGCCAGAGCUUGUGAAAGUUGCAGACAAGAUUUAUGGUGUGACACACAAGAACAGAGUUAGCCAUGUCAAUGUGGUUUCAAAGGAUCAGGCUCUUGAUUUCAUUGAGCAUGACCAGACACACAAUACUGACUAAUCUGCUUGAUCCAGUCACAGGCAGGCUUUCUGAAAGCCGAAUUCCACGACCUGGAAUGCUCUGUUUAACUGCAUGUUUGCCCAUGUGCAUGUUGGUGGCGGUUGACUGUUGUAAGAUUAAACAUGUAUGACCUUUAAGGGAAAUCUGUGGUUGUGAGACAUCUUGGGUCUUACCUGGCUUUUGGCAUUGGAAGUUUUCGUGGAUUGCUAAUUUUGAUCUCAGCUUUUUAUUCAAGGAUUUAUAAUAUGUUGGGCCUC